GCCGCUGCCACUACGGGGCGGCGCCGGUUAAAAAAGCCGGACAAUCUUGUACCCAUGUUGCUUCAAGGAGGAUGUGGCUAUGAGAA
RNAcentral lists this small RNA (86 nucleotides) under Aquamicrobium lusatiense. Its description in RNAcentral is "Repression of heat shock gene expression (ROSE) element". It matches the Rfam family "Repression of heat shock gene expression (ROSE) element". From Rfam's summary of the family: This family represents a 5' UTR cis-regulatory element found in heat shock mRNAs and is known as the ROSE (repression of heat shock gene expression) element. The ROSE element is a negative regulator of heat shock gene expression. Lineage: Bacteria; Pseudomonadati; Pseudomonadota; Alphaproteobacteria; Hyphomicrobiales; Phyllobacteriaceae. The record is from Rfam by way of RNAcentral.